Molecule: ribosomal RNA, 301 nt
Filed under: uncultured bacterium
Lineage: Bacteria
Description: partial 16S ribosomal RNA
Rfam family: Bacterial small subunit ribosomal RNA
Source: RNAcentral
CAGCAGCCGCGGGAAUACGUAGGUGGCAAGCGUUGUCCGGAAUUACUGGGCGUAAAGCGUGCGCAGGCGGUUCGUUAAGACAGAUGUGAAAUCCCCGGGCUUAACCUGGGAACUGCAUUUGUGACUGGCGGGCUAGAGUAUGGCAGAGGGGGGUAGAAUUCCACGUGUAGCAGUGAAAUGCGUAGAGAUGUGGAGGAAUACCGAUGGCGAAGGCAGCCCCCUGGGCCAAUACUGACGCUCAUGCACGAAAGCGUGGGGAGCAAACAGGAUUAGAUACCCCCGUAGUCCCUGUCUCUUAUAC